GAUUUGGUGGCUAUUAUAGGUAUUGCUGAUAUCAUAGGCAAAAGAUUUGGGUCGAUGAAGCUUCCUUUUAAUCAACAGAAGAGUUGGGCGGGUAGCAUAUCCAUGUUUGGUUGUGGAUUCCUGAUUUCCAUCGGGAUGCUGUAUUACUAUUCAGUUCUGGGAUAUUUCCAAUUGGAUUGGGGAACAACAGUGCAAAAAGUGGCUCUAGUAUCCUUGGUUGCAACAGUGGUGGAGUCCCUUUCAACCACAGAUGUAGUAGAUGACAACAUAUCAGUUCCUUUAGCAAGCAUGGCAAUGGCAUUUUUCAGUUUUGGUUAUUAGCUCGCAAUCGCAGCACCCUUUUUUUUCCCUUCUAUAAAUUGCCAUACUAAUAAUAGUAGUGGCUCAAUAAUAAAUAGUGAUGUUAUUGAAAUCCUGAAAAGUGAGGGAGUGAUGUAUCCUUUCAAUAUCCUUGAAAUCCCAGCAAAUUAAAAACAUUUUGAGUUAUUAAUA
Molecule: long non-coding RNA, 492 nt
Organism: Carya illinoinensis
Lineage: Eukaryota; Viridiplantae; Streptophyta; Magnoliopsida; Fagales; Juglandaceae
Exons: 2
Source: RefSeq, a predicted model, not a curated record